RNAcentral lists this long non-coding RNA (930 nucleotides) under Eutrema salsugineum. RNAcentral's name for it is "long non-coding RNA (ESAL_LNC001330)". The record is from RNAcentral. Lineage: Eukaryota; Viridiplantae; Streptophyta; Magnoliopsida; Brassicales; Brassicaceae.
CAAAAUCCAAGGGAGGGAGCAGAUAUGAGGAUGGGCUGCAGUUGUGGUUUGCCACAAGGGGAGCUUAAUUUAAGUCUUUCAAAUGUUGGUUUUGUAUUGAAUCUUAAAACCGCUAAAAGUUUGUAAGUAAAACUUUUUUUUUCUUGAAUAUAAUUUAACAUUUAUUCAAAAAAAAAGAAAUUUGUUUAUGUCCAUUUUAUCCAAAUGUUAUAUAUUAUUACGAAAUUUUCAUUAUAUUAUAUUUUAUUCAAAUUUUGUUUCAAAAUAAAUUAAUUAAAUAAAAUAAUUAAAGAGAGAAAAAACAAAAAUCAUGGUACCAAAAAAACCUUUCUUUCUCGACGAAGGCGACUUUGGCGGCGACUUUGGCGGCGACUUCGGUGGCGAUUGGAGCAACUUUCAUGUCCGACCAGAUUUCGUCACGAUUCCGAUGGCGAGUGGGGCGUUUUCGGUAAGACUCUUCAUACUCUGCCUUCAUUUAUACUUUCUCCUUUUUUCCAUGAAGUUUCUAGGCGUUUUAAUCUCAACAACUUUGAGUUCUGGCGAGGUAAAGAGAGCUUCUUCUUGGUCUCGACACAGAGCUUCGUGAACGGCGUUGGUGUAUAUCACGACAAAAAUCAUCGUCGUUGAACUUGAUUUUUCUGAAGUGAUAAACCAGAUCUCAUAUGAGUCUACCAUACCAGAUCUAUUGACUUUAUCCAUCAGACUAUUGUCUACCGGUGAAGAAAGUUAAUAAGGCUACCAUCCUUACAAAUACUCUACUAAUCUGAACAAUAUUUUUUCAAAUAGAGGUUAUCUGAGUAAGUACCAAAAACAAAUAUAAGUCUACCAUGAUUGUAUAUCAGAAAUAUUAAAUCUACCAAGAAUUAAUAAAUCUACCAUACUUGUAAUUAAACCUACCACAUUAUUUACUGAAUUUCAAUGGUUUUAAAU